RNAcentral lists this long non-coding RNA (643 nucleotides) under Fukomys damarensis (Damara mole-rat). Its description in RNAcentral is "lncRNA (ENSFDAG00000023948.1)". Lineage: Eukaryota; Metazoa; Chordata; Mammalia; Rodentia; Bathyergidae. The record is from RNAcentral.
UGGGAACUUAAGUUUUUUUCCCCAUUUAAAACUGACAAGGAAAGAAUAUUUACUUAUGAAAGAAUAACAUUCACCAUAUCAUCUCCCAAGGACUUUUUAUGUGUUUUCGAGAAACUCUAGUUUCCUGCACUGAUUUGCUUUCCUCUCUACAGGCAAAUAGAGAGCUCUGGGAGUGAUUUGCUUACAAAAUCACAAGUGAUUUCCACUCAUUUUCCCAGCAUCAGCACUCAGAAUACCCAGUUCUAAACAGGCUGCAGUGGUGUAUACCUCUCUCUUCCAGGUUGAGUUUCAAUGUUUCGUUACCAUGUGACUAUCAGCCCUGCAGGAGGUGGAGAGGCAUCAUCCACUCCCCAGAGAUGAUUGAAGAAUAACGUAACAGAAUUCUGGGAUAUGAGCAAGACUCCAGAAACACAAGUCUCCUGUGGAUUGUGGGAAAUCGCAAAGCAUUUCUUCUGAUAUUAUUUAAAACUCCAAACCUAAUGGGAGACAAACCAUAAAACUAAAUGUUACAGUCCAAAAGUAAUCUCCCUUUCCAACAGGAAAAAAAAAAGUCACAGUUCUAACUGAUAACAUACUUGCACUUUUUCCCAUAAACAAAUCUUCUUAUUCCUAAAUCUGAUGGUUGUAGAUUAUUCUAUUCCUU